UACGUAGGGUGCAAGCGUUAUCCGGAUUUAUUGGGCGUAAAGGGCUCGUAGGCGGUUCGUCGCGUCCGGUGUGAAAGUCCAUCGCUUAACGGUGGAUCCGCGCCGGGUACGGGCGGGCUUGAGUGCGGUAGGGGAGUCUGGAAUUCCCGGUGUAACGGUGGAAUGUGUAGAUAUCGGGAAGAACACCAAUGGCGAAGGCAGGUCUCUGGGCCGUUACUGACGCUGAGGAGCGAAAGCGUGGGGAGCGAACAGG
Molecule: ribosomal RNA, 253 nt
Filed under: uncultured bacterium
Lineage: Bacteria
Description: partial 16S ribosomal RNA
Rfam family: Bacterial small subunit ribosomal RNA
Source: RNAcentral